AGAGUUUGAUCCUGGCUCAGAACGAACGCUGGCGGCGUGCCUAACACAUGCAAGUCGUACGAGAAAUCCUGGGUAACUGGGAAAGUAGAGUGGCGCACGGGUGAGUAACACGUGGGUAACCUACCCUUAGAUUUGGGAUAACUCCGCGAAAGCGGGGUUAAUACCGGAUGAUAUUCUGAUUCCCAAGGGAGUUGGAAUCAAAGAUGGUCUCUGCAUGCAAGUUAUCGUCAAAGGAUGGGUCUGCGUACCAUUAGCUAGUUGGUAGGGUAAUGGCCUACCAAGGCAACGAUGGUUAGCUGGUCUGAGAGGAUGGUUAGCCACACUGGAACUGAGAUACGGUCCAGACUCCUACGGGAGGCAGCAGUGGGGAAUUUUGCGCAAUGGGGGAAACCUUGACGCAGCAACGCCGCGUGGGUGAUGAAGGUUUUUGGGUCGUAAAGCCCUGUCAGGUGGGAAGAAACGUAUCGGUGCUAAUAUCACUGAUACUUGACGGUACUACCGGAGGAAGCACUGGCUAACUCCGUGCCAGCAGUUGCGGUAAUACGGAGGGUGCAAGCGUUGUUCGGAAUUACUGGGCGUAAAGCGCGUGUAGGCGGUCGGGCAAGUUAGAUGUGAAAGCCUUCCGCUUAACGGAAGAAGUGCAUUUAAAACUACCCGGCUGGAGUACGGGAGAGGAGAGUGGAAUUCCCGGUGUAGAGGUGAAAUUCGUAGAUAUCGGGAGGAACACCAGUGGCGAAAGGCGGUUCUCUGGUCUGAUACUGACGCUGAGACGCGAAAGCGUGGGGAGUAAACAGGAUUAG
Molecule: ribosomal RNA, 800 nt
Filed under: uncultured bacterium
Lineage: Bacteria
Description: bacterial SSU rRNA
Rfam family: Bacterial small subunit ribosomal RNA
Source: RNAcentral